RNAcentral lists this ribosomal RNA (265 nucleotides) under uncultured Serratia sp. RNAcentral's name for it is "partial 16S ribosomal RNA". It matches the Rfam family "Bacterial small subunit ribosomal RNA", at positions 355 to 612 of the family's 1533-position model. Lineage: Bacteria; Pseudomonadati; Pseudomonadota; Gammaproteobacteria; Enterobacterales; Yersiniaceae. The record is from RNAcentral.
UGGGGAAUAUUGCACAAUGGGCGCAAGCCUGAUGCAGCCAUGCCGCGUGUGUGAAGAAGGCCUUCGGGUUGUAAAGCACUUUCAGCGAGGAGGAAGGUGGUGAACUUAAUACGUUCAUCAAUUGACGUUACUCGCAGAAGAAGCACCGGCUAACUCCGUGCCAGCAGCCGCGGUAAUACGGAGGGUGCAAGCGUUAAUCGGAAUUACUGGGCGUAAAGCGCACGCAGGCGGUUUGUUAAGUCAGAUGUGAAAUCCCCGGGCUCAA